Molecule: non-coding RNA, 66 nt
Organism: Podarcis lilfordi (Lilford's wall lizard)
Lineage: Eukaryota; Metazoa; Chordata; Lepidosauria; Squamata; Lacertidae
Source: the annotation of a GenBank genome assembly
GAGCUCAGUUGGUAGAGCAUUUGAUUCUUAAUCUCAGGGUUGUGGGUUCAAGCCCCACGUUGGGCA